RNAcentral lists this small nuclear RNA (20 nucleotides) under Arabidopsis thaliana (thale cress). Its description in RNAcentral is "snRNA_18639". The record is from RNAcentral. Lineage: Eukaryota; Viridiplantae; Streptophyta; Magnoliopsida; Brassicales; Brassicaceae.
CCGGAGGUAGGGUCCAGCGG